Molecule: ribosomal RNA, 616 nt
Filed under: uncultured bacterium
Lineage: Bacteria
Description: bacterial SSU rRNA
Rfam family: Bacterial small subunit ribosomal RNA
Source: RNAcentral
AUUGAACGCUGGCGGCGUGCCUAACACAUGCAAGUCGAGCGGUAACAGGUGUAGCAAUACAUGCUGACGAGCGGCGAACGGGUGAGUAAUGCUUUGGAAUCUUCCCAGUAGUGGGGAAUAACCAGUCGAAAGAUUGGCUAAUACCGCAUACGUCUGUAAAGGGAAAGCGGGGGCUCGUAAGACCUCGCGCUAUUGGAUGAGCCAAAGUCGGAUUAGCUAGUUGGUGGGGUAAUGGCCUACCAAGGCGACAAUCCGUAGCUGGUCUGAGAGGACGACCAGCCACACCGGAACUGAGACACGGUCCGGACUCCUACGGGAGGCAGCAGUGGGGAAUAUUGGACAAUGGGGGAAACCCUGAUCCAGCGACGCCGCGUGUGUGAAGAAGGCCUGCGGGUUGUAAAGCACUUUUAGUGGGGACAAAAAGCUACGGAUUAAUACUCUGUGGUCUUGAUUUAACCCAAAGAAAAAGCACCGGCUAACUCUGUGCCAGCAGCCGCGGUAAUACAGAGGGUGCGAGCGUUAAUCGGAAUUACUGGGCGUAAAGCGCGCGUAGACGGUUUUGUAAGUCAGAUGUGAAAUCCCUGGGCUCAACCUGGGAACUGCAUUUGAAACUGCA